GGGAUGGAAUUGAGAUCAGAAGACAGAGGAAGACAAGACAUUUCCCUGGGACACUCUCAUGUUUAUGGAAUGAAUUGAGGCGCGGCACAGUCCGGAACUGAUCAGUGCAAGGGAGCCGAUAUCCCGGUGGUGGAUUUCAAGUUUUAGGAGGGGCACGGGUAACCGCCAAAGGGAGACAAAGCCGCCGAGGAGAAUGAAGAAAUUGCCAAGGAGGAAAAAGACAGAAGGUAAGUUCCAUCGAACACCAUUUUUUAAAACUCUGGGCCACUAAUGUUUGUUUUUAUAACCCGUAAUGUGGGCUCUA
This is a long non-coding RNA of Xenopus laevis (African clawed frog), 304 nucleotides long. RefSeq lists it as uncharacterized. The record is from RefSeq and is a predicted model, not a curated record. Lineage: Eukaryota; Metazoa; Chordata; Amphibia; Anura; Pipidae. The transcript is spliced from 3 exons.